GCCCGCCUAGCUCAAUCGGAUAGAGCGUCAGACUCUUACUUUGGUACAGAGAAUGCACGGGUGACUUCACAGGUUGUUUCUACCCCUGUGAUCUGAAGGCUGCGAGUUCGACCCUCGCGGUGGGCU
Non-coding RNA from Steccherinum ochraceum, 126 nucleotides. Lineage: Eukaryota; Fungi; Basidiomycota; Agaricomycetes; Polyporales; Steccherinaceae. The record is from the annotation of a GenBank genome assembly.